AUACUCAUGGCAUGGGUGGGUAGCUCUUGUUGGAGAAGCAGGGCACGUGCAAUUCACAUGCGUAGAUCAUAUGAUAUCUUACAAGACUUUGCACGCGCUCCCCUUCUCCAACACGUGUUUCUCGCCCUCAAUUCUCUCAUUC
RNAcentral lists this microRNA precursor (142 nucleotides) under Citrus sinensis (sweet orange). Its description in RNAcentral is "miR164c stem-loop (csi-MIR164c)". Its record names the gene csi-MIR164c. The stretch from base 21 to 120 matches the Rfam family "MIR164 microRNA precursor family". The record is from miRBase by way of RNAcentral. Lineage: Eukaryota; Viridiplantae; Streptophyta; Magnoliopsida; Sapindales; Rutaceae.